UCGAGAAUCUUUCGCAAUGCCCGAAAGGGUGACGAAGCGACGCCGCGUGUGGGAAGAAGGCCUUCGGGUUGUAAACCACUGUCGGGAGUUAGGAAAUGCAGGUGCGUUAAUAGCGCACUUGCUUGACUAAGGCUCCAGAGGAAGCCACGGCUAACUCUGUGCCAGCAGCCGCGGUAAUACAGAGGCGGCAAGCGUUGUUCGGAAUUAUUGGGCGUAAAGAGCACGUAGGCGGCCUUGCAAGUCAGUUGUGAAAGCCUUCCGCUUAACGGAAGAACGGCAUCUGAUACUACAGGGCUUGAGUACGGGAGGGGAGAGUGGAACUUCUGGUGGAGCGGUGAAAUGCGUAGAUAUCAGAAGGAACGCCGGCGGCGAAAGCGACUCUCUGGUCCGAAACUGACGCUGAGUGUGCGAAAGCUAGGGGAGCAAACGGGAUUAGAUACCCCGGUAGUCCUAGCCGUAAACGAUGGGCACUAAGUAGAGGGGUUUUGAUUAUUUCUCUGCCGGAGCUAACGCAUUAAGUGCCCCGCCUGGGGAGUACGGCCGCAAGGCUAAAACUCAAAAGAAUUGACGGGGGCUCGCACAAGCGGUGGGGCAUGUGGCUUAAUUCGAUGCAACGCGAAGAACCUUACCGGGGCUUGACAUGGUAGAAGUAGAAUCCUGAAAGGGUGACGAUCGGUAUCCAGUCCGAAGCUAUCACAGGUGUUGCAUGGCUGUCGUCAGCUCGUGUCGUGAGACGUUGGGUUAAGUCCCCUAACGAGCGAAACCCUUGUCUUUAGUUGCUAACGGGUAAUGCUGAGCACUUUAGAGAGACUGCCGUCGUUAAGACGGAGGAAGGUGGGGACGACGUCAAGUCAUCAUGGCCCUUAUGUCCCGGGCUGCACACGUGCUACAAUGGUCGGUACAAAGGGAUGCUAAGUCGCGAGAUGGUGCGAAACCUAUAAAGCCGAUCUCAGUUCAGAUUGGAGGCUGAAACUCGCCUGCAUGAAGUUGGAAUCGCUAGUAAUCGUAGGUCAGCAUACUACGGUGAAUGUGUUCCCGAGCCUUGUACACACCGCCCGUCAAGCCACCCAAGCAAGAUGCACCCAAAAUCGCCUGCCUAACCCGUAAGGGAGGGAAGUGCCUAAGGUGUGUUUUGUGAGGAGGACUAAGUCGUAACAAGGUAGUCGUAGGAGAACC
This 1176-nucleotide ribosomal RNA is filed under the name uncultured Planctomycetota bacterium. RNAcentral's name for it is "bacterial SSU rRNA". It matches the Rfam family "Bacterial small subunit ribosomal RNA", at positions 355 to 1512 of the family's 1533-position model. Lineage: Bacteria; Pseudomonadati; Planctomycetota. The record is from RNAcentral.